UUGAGGAAAAUAUUGUUUAUUUCAUUUAUUAUCACGAAGUACAUCUAGGAUGUUAUAAUGAUAAUAUAAAAUAGAAGUAUUGCUUACGAUAUAAAGAGGACAAAACGUGCAAAAUUGUAAUUACAAGAGAACAAAAGAGUAGUUGAGAACUAAAGGAUAUAAGAUUUGUUUGUUAUGACAUUCGGAGAAGGUGGAAAAGAUAAGGAUCAUACAUUUGUGA
This 220-nucleotide long non-coding RNA is filed under the name Jatropha curcas. RNAcentral's name for it is "long non-coding RNA (JCUR_LNC003468)". The record is from RNAcentral. Lineage: Eukaryota; Viridiplantae; Streptophyta; Magnoliopsida; Malpighiales; Euphorbiaceae.